Long non-coding RNA from Megalobrama amblycephala (Wuchang bream), 1120 nucleotides. RefSeq lists it as uncharacterized. Lineage: Eukaryota; Metazoa; Chordata; Actinopteri; Cypriniformes; Xenocyprididae. The transcript is spliced from 3 exons. The record is from RefSeq and is a predicted model, not a curated record.
CACAUCAUCCAUCCAGCGAGCCAAUCAGCGCUCCGCAGGUCACGGUCCCGCCCACUGAACGAUCAGACCGAUUGAGAGAAAGCGGACAGUUGAAGCUGUAUGUAGCGGUUAGUCUUUGCUUGUGUGUGUGUCUAUGAAAAGUUGGCAGCUCUAUGUGUGAGAGACAAGCCUGUUGCACAUGCUCAGUGCGCUCCUGCGAGACCUUGCAUGCAAGCCACAUCCUGUUUCACUCAAGAUAAAAGGUUUGCUGUAAGAUUUGAUAUUUCCACAUCAGCUCGCCGGUUCAAACGGAUCACUUAAACCUACUAGACAAGCCAUGGAUUUUGAGAACAGCAAAGAAGGAUGUAAAAAUUGCGAAGGGAAUUGCAAUAACACAUGCCAAUGUCACUGCCACACAAUAACCCAGGGUCCAAAACCUAGGCAAAUGACUGAGGAGAAGAUGUGUGAGAAGCCUGAAAUGUCUUCAAAAGACUGCAAUUACUGUCAUUGCGGCUACUGUUAUUUUGGCCCCUGUGAUUGUGGCUCCAAUGAUGGUGGCGCCGGUGAUGAUGGCUCCGGUGAUUGUGGCUCCUGUGAUUGCGACGUCUGCGAUUGCGGUUCCUGUGAUUGCGACGUCUGCGAUUGCGGCUCCUGUGAUUGUGGCUCCUGCGAUUGCGGCCCCUGCGAUUGUGUUAUUCAGUGAAUGCUUGCUGUAUGUUGUUCAGACAGAGUAGAUGGAUUUGUGGAGACGCCGAGGUGCUCAGGGCGGUUUCAGCUCCAGUGAAGAACAUCAUCAACACAGAGACAACUGCACUGCCAUUAUGCAUGUUAAACAUCAUAAAGAUAAUAUUGAAUAUAAAUAAAAUAUACAUUCUGUGUGAAUGUGUUCAUUAUGCAUGUGAAAUUAUUGUAAAGUUAUACUGCAUUUUCUCUGUAAACAUACAUAUUAUAAAUGUAUAAUACAGAAUGUGGCCUUUUACAGUAUGUGGCCUGAAGCUAAAAUGCUUUUAUCGAUAACUAAAGAUAUUAAAGUAAAGAAAGAUGAUGUUUUUAGUUUUAAUUGUUAUAUUUGGUUAUGGGUUUGUAGUUUAAAUUCAUAUUAAAGGUUCUGUAGAAUGUCUUUUUAAAAGAUGUAAUAUAA